This 501-nucleotide long non-coding RNA is filed under the name Gossypium raimondii (Peruvian cotton). RNAcentral describes it as "long non-coding RNA (GRAI_LNC008305)". The record is from RNAcentral. Lineage: Eukaryota; Viridiplantae; Streptophyta; Magnoliopsida; Malvales; Malvaceae.
UGGAUAAGUGGAGUGUUAGUGUGAAGGAGGUCCUAUGUUUGAAUCUUGGCAUGGGCAUUAUUUUUGCUCGUGCGUCCAGGAGAGUUUGAGAUGGACUAAAAAUCUGAGUACUGGAUUUAGUGGGGAGUUUGAUGGAGAGAAAUAAAGGAUUGGGGUGGUUAUGAAAUAUUCAAAUAAUCUUUUUUUUUUAAAUUUUUUUACUUUCCCCAAAAUCCCUCCACCCUCUUGCUUUUUUUUCUCUUCAUUGCUGCCGAAUUUCUGCUCUCUUUCACCCUUCAUCUUCUUGAUUUUUCUUUUCCCACUCUACCUCCUGUUGCUCCAUGUUUGUCUACGAUCGUUCGGUAAGUUUUAGAUAAGUGAUUUGUCUCUGUUUUUUAACUUUCUUCUGAAGUGUUUUGUUUAUGCCAAUUAGGGGAGGACUCAAGGGCUCGUAAUCACCAAUCAGAGUCUUAGUUUGUGUGGGAAUUAUUGUUCAUCGGUUGAAGGUAAGGUUUAGUCGCU